Molecule: transfer RNA, 74 nt
Filed under: bacterium
Lineage: Bacteria
Description: tRNA-Val
Rfam family: tRNA
About the family: Transfer RNA (tRNA) molecules are approximately 80 nucleotides in length.
Source: RNAcentral
GGGUGGAUAGCUCAGUUGGAUAGAGCGCCUGCCUUACAAGCAGGAGGUCGGGGGUUCGAGCCCCUCUCUGCCCA